AGCAUAGCAUUAUCUCAUUAUAUAUCAGUGGAUAACAUGUUAAUUGUGGCUAACUAUCACACAGGUGAUGAACAGGACACUGUUUCAAUUGAGCGUGCUAUUUGUUGAAGAAACAGGAGAAUCUUAGACAGUGGCCUCAUAUAUAAGCAAGCAAGCUCUCGCAGAGUUGAAAUAAAUGAAUGCUGAUUAUAGUUUUCCUAGUGGUGAAUGUGCAUUUAGGGAACUAUUACUUAUACCAUGAGAAAGUGGGCUUGUCUUACACUCUUAUUUUAUUCAAAAGCAUGUUGCAACUAAACUUUGCUACUCAUAAUUAUAAUCCAACGAGUGACUUAACAACCCAUCCUUACUAAUGUGCUACAUGGGAAACUAAUUUAAGUCACAAACCUAAACUUCAAUUGUCUUAGUUUGGAUUACAAGCAAACAUAUCUAAACUAAAGCCAAUCCAACCUGAGCCCUGCCAUUUGCAGUCUGUUCAGAUACAAGAACUAUUUAGAAUUAUGUACACAUUUAGAAAGCUUGUCUUGUUUUCAGAUUUAUGACAUUUUCAAAAGGGAAAGAUUUGAGAGGCAUUCAAGUAAAACAUAAGCAGAAAAACACAUGGAAUUUAGCCUUUCACUCCUUUCAAAAAUAAUAUGUUGAGUGUUAGCACAACAUAGUGUUUACUUUAUAAAGUAAAAGGCAAGAAUGCUGCAACUCAAUUCUCACAAUCAAAAGAUAUAAGCAUUUAGAAUCGAAAAUGAUGGACCUCAUUGUGAAACAUUUCAAACUCUAUAAUAGGUCAUUAAUCCAUAAUAAUCAUCUGCUUACACAAACAUUUUGCAAGUUCCACUUAUUUGUGUUUAAAUUAAAAUUAUUAUGUUAAAAGAAAUCAAGAAAGUAACAACACAUCAACACGAGUUGAAAAGCAAAUUGAACAAACAACUUUAUCACUUGUAUACUUCUACAGGCGACUGUUCUAUUAGAAAUUCCAACUAUAAGCUUCAACGAUAUGGCAGCAGAGCUAUAAAAAAAGUUCAAACACAGCAAGAUUAUCAGGAUAUCGAGAGCAACGCCUAAUCAUAAGCAACAACAAGAGAAUUUAGCAGCAACCCAGAUCUAAAGUAAGAAUAAUACGCAAAACCCACAUAGGCGCAAGUUCAAAACAAACACAAAUCACAUAAAGAUAUGACCCAUAUAGAUCAUAAUAGAGAAAAACCAGAAAGUGAUGCAUAAAGAAAACAAGCAUAGAAGAAAAGAAAUAGGGGGUGGGAAAG
This 1253-nucleotide unclassified non-coding RNA is filed under the name Hevea brasiliensis (rubber tree). Lineage: Eukaryota; Viridiplantae; Streptophyta; Magnoliopsida; Malpighiales; Euphorbiaceae. The record is from RNAcentral.